CGUCGCAAGACCAAAGAGGGGGACCUUCGGGCCCUCUUGCCAUCAGAUGUGCCCAGAUGGGAUAGCUAGUAGGUGGGGUAACGGUCAACCUAGGCGACGAUCCCUAGCUGGUCUGAGAGGAUGACCAGCCACACUGGAACUGAGACACGGUCCAGACUCCUACGGGAGGCAGCAGUGGGGAAUAUUGCACAAUGGGCGCAAGCCUGAUGCAGCCAUGCCGCGUGUAUGAAGAAGGCCUUCGGGUUGUAAAGUACUUUCAGCGGGGAGGAAGGUGUGUGGUUAAUAACCACAGCAAUUGACGUUACCCCGCAGGAGAAGCACCGGUUAACUUCCCGGUUGCCCAAGGCAAGGCCCGGCGGGGUAAAUUACGGGAAGGGGUUGNCAAAGCGGUUAAAUUCCGGGAAAUUUAACUUGGGGGCCGUUAAAAGGCGGCACAACCGCCAAGGGCGGGGUCCNUUGGUCCAAAAGGUUCCGGGGAAUUGUUGAAAAUUUCCCCCCGGGGGGGGCUUCACAAACCCUUUGGGGGGAAAACUCUGGGGAUUUCCGGAAAACUUUGGGGGCAAGGGGGUUAAAAAGUUCCUUUGGGAACAAGGGGGGGGG
Molecule: ribosomal RNA, 600 nt
Filed under: uncultured bacterium
Lineage: Bacteria
Description: partial 16S ribosomal RNA
Rfam family: Bacterial small subunit ribosomal RNA (bases 1-340)
Source: RNAcentral